This 521-nucleotide ribosomal RNA is filed under the name Bacillus subtilis. RNAcentral's name for it is "bacterial SSU rRNA". It matches the Rfam family "Bacterial small subunit ribosomal RNA", at positions 1 to 503 of the family's 1533-position model. The record is from RNAcentral. Lineage: Bacteria; Bacillati; Bacillota; Bacilli; Caryophanales; Bacillaceae.
UUUAUCGGAGAGUUUGAUCCUGGCUCAGGACGAACGCUGGCGGCGUGCCUAAUACAUGCAAGUCGAGCGGACAGAUGGGAGCUUGCUCCCUGAUGUUAGCGGCGGACGGGUGAGUAACACGUGGGUAACCUGCCUGUAAGACUGGGAUAACUCCGGGAAACCGGGGCUAAUACCGGAUGGUUGUUUGAACCGCAUGGUUCAAACAUAAAAGGUGGCUUCGGCUACCACUURCAGAUGGACCCGCGGCGCAUUAGCUAGUUGGUGAGGUAAUGGCUCACCAAGGCAACGAUGCGUAGCCGACCUGAGAGGGUGAUCGGCCACACUGGGACUGAGACACGGCCCAGACUCCUACGGGAGGCAGCAGUAGGGAAUCUUCCGCAAUGGACGAAAGUCUGACGGAGCAACGCCGCGUGAGUGAUGAAGGUUUUCGGAUCGUAAAGCUCUGUUGUUAGGGAAGAACAAGUGCCGUUCGAAUAGGGCGGUACCUUGACGGUACCUAACCAGAAAGCCACGGCUAACUA